Non-coding RNA from Spinacia oleracea (spinach), 306 nucleotides. The record is from Rfam. NCBI's taxonomy places the organism in Eukaryota, Viridiplantae, Streptophyta, Magnoliopsida, Caryophyllales, Amaranthaceae.
GUCGAGCUUAGUAACGCGUGCUUGUAACCCGAGUGGGGACACUAAGGUGACGGGACAGGAAUUCAAUUGACUGGAUCGGGUCUAAAGUUGGCAUUAUGUUGGCCCGCCCUAUCCAAGUUGGGAGUUGGUUCAUGUGGUCUGGCGAAAGCUUGAUCUUCAUGGGCCCUAAAGUGGAGGGGACCGCGUGAGGCUGGUUUCACAGAGCAACGAAAACCUCCCGCUCUUGUCAGUGGAAGGAUAACGGGCUUGCGCCUCUUAGGCCCAAUAGUAUCCAGUUGAAUGAUCCUCCAUUGGACCGUCAUUUUU